AUGUGUGAUGCUAGUGAUUAUGCUGUAGGUGUUGUUCUAGGGAAAAGAGUUGAUAAGAAAUUAAAUGUUAUUCAAUAUGCUAGUAAAACUCUACACAAUGCCCAGAGAAAUUAUGCUACUACUGAAAAAGAAUUUUUAGCAGUUGUAUUUGCUUGUGAUAAGUUCAGACCUUAUAUUGUUGAUUCUAAAGUAACUAUUUACAUCGAUCAUGCUGCUAUUAAAUAUAUUAUGGAAAAAAAGAUGCUAAACCUAGACUUAUUAGAUGGGUUCUCUUACUACAAGAAUUUGAUUUGCAUAUUAUUGAUAGAAAGGAAGCUGAGAACCCCAUUGCAGAUAACUUGUCUAGGUUAG
This 351-nucleotide ribosomal RNA is filed under the name Triticum aestivum (bread wheat). RNAcentral describes it as "partial small subunit ribosomal RNA". Lineage: Eukaryota; Viridiplantae; Streptophyta; Magnoliopsida; Poales; Poaceae. The record is from RNAcentral.